UGAUAAUGCACAGUAAAGGUUGAUACAAUCAUUACAAUGUACAGGGUAUUAUACUGAGAAUUCUACUGAUAAUGCACAGUAAAGGUUGAUACAAUCAUUACAAUGUACAGGGUAUUAUACUGAGAAUUCUACUGAUAAUGCACAGUAAAGGUUGAUACAAUCAUUACAAUGUACAGGGUAUUAUACUGAGAAUUCUACAGAUACGAACAGUAAAGGU
Molecule: long non-coding RNA, 217 nt
Organism: Oncorhynchus keta (chum salmon)
Lineage: Eukaryota; Metazoa; Chordata; Actinopteri; Salmoniformes; Salmonidae
Exons: 4
Source: RefSeq, a predicted model, not a curated record